Molecule: small RNA, 997 nt
Filed under: uncultured bacterium
Lineage: Bacteria
Description: bacterial SSU rRNA
Rfam family: Bacterial small subunit ribosomal RNA (bases 1-368)
Source: RNAcentral
AGGAAGGUGUGGAUGACGUCAAGUCAUCAUGCCCCUUACACCCUGGGCUACACACGUACUACAAUGCUACGGACAAAGGGCAGCAAACUCGCGAGAGCUAGCAAAUCCCAUAAACCGUGGCUCAGUUCAGAUCGUAGGCUGCAACUCGCCUACGUGAAGCAGGAAUCGCUAGUAAUCGCAGGUCAGCAUACUGCGGUGAAUACGUUCCCGGGCCUUGUACACACCGCCCGUCACACCAUGGAAGUUGGCCAUGCCCGAAGUCGUUACUCCAACCCUUGUGGAGGAGGACGCCGAAGGUGGGGCUAAUGACUGGGGUGAAGUCGUAACAAGGUAGCCGUACCGGAAGGUGCGGCUGGAUCACCUCCUAACAGGGAGACAACAAAAUGUUUAAUAUUAUUAUUUUGUCACCUUAGGUCGAUCGGUAUCUCAUGUUCUUAAUUCGUUAAGAAUUUCAUUUCCUAAGUUUUUCUAGGUCACACCCAUUAUUUUUCCUGGGCCAUUAGCUCAGGUGGUUAGAGCGCACCCCUGAUAAGGGUGAGGUCCCUGGUUCAAGUCCAGGAUGGCCCAUAUCUCUAUGUUGGGGGUAUAGCUCAGUUGGUAGAGCGCCUGCUUUGCAAGCAGGAUGUCAGCGGUUCGAGUCCGCUUACCUCCACUGAUUACCACCUCUUCCAUAACCGGUAGAAAGGAAAUGUUUUGAGUUGUGAUCAUUAUUCUGAACGAAUCUAGCUUCCUAAUGGAAUCAUUAAGAUGCUGGACUCAUUGAAUUAAUUUCAUUGUUUUCAGAGAACCUUGACAACUGCAUAGAUUAUUUUUAAAGACAAUAAGCAUCUUUAAUGAUGCAGAUUUAUUAUUUGUGCGAAUGCAUUAAUAACAAUUCUAUUAAGCUGAUGCUUCAAUUUUUGAAGUUAUUGGUCAAGCUACAAAGGGCUCACGGAGGAUACCUAGGCACACAGAGGCGAUGAAGGACGUGGUUACCUGCGAUAAGUCUCGGGGAGUG